Long non-coding RNA from Sinocyclocheilus anshuiensis, 1338 nucleotides. RefSeq lists it as uncharacterized. The record is from RefSeq and is a predicted model, not a curated record. Lineage: Eukaryota; Metazoa; Chordata; Actinopteri; Cypriniformes; Cyprinidae. The transcript has 5 exons.
UCCCUUUAACAGUAUUAACAGUUCAGAGCAGUUCAGAGCACGGACAUUAUUCGCUGUUGUUGUUUUCUACUGAGUGCAUUCAUACACAAAACCACUCAUGCUAAGCUACACCCCAAACUACUCUGUACUACUCUGCCAUACUCUCUGCUGCCUGUACUACAAUCAUUCACUCAACCAAAUUCAAGGACUGUAAACCUCUACAAGUCUUAAACCAUUAAAGUGUACUUCGUCUCUGACCGGACGACUUGUGUCUGCUCAAUUUCCACCAGCACCCACACUAGUCUAGCUCACAAUUAUGAAUGACAACGAUCGAUCGCUUUCAAAGAAGCACUGAAUGGUACUGACGUCACCCGCGCCUCCAGUGCAAGGUGGUCCCGCCCACAGGCCAAUCGGGAUGCAGGAAAAAGUGGAACUUUCUCGAAGGACCAAUGGCAGGCUACUCUCCAUGACCAUAUCGGGAAGCUCGCUAAGUGGAACAGAGCUCCGACCAAUGGCGAGCCAGACGACGGGCCAAUCAGGAUGCAGGAUAAGUGAAACAGUGGGACAGAAGUGGAACCGAAGAUAGGCUCGCACGGGGCGCAAGGAUGACAUGCAAAUUCGUGAAGCGUUCCUCAUUUUUGAACGAUUUUUAAUCGUUAAACGUAAUUAAGAUUAAGCUGGAUUUAAAAAAGUCUUUGACGUACGGAGAAAGUGCCUAAAACAUGCACGUAUAUCAAACUUUGUGAAUUGACAGUGUGGAGGCAUUUUAUUCACCAUUGAUUUAUGAUGUAGCAGCAUCCCAGUACAACACAGUCCAGGGGCCCCAGUUUACCCCCCUCUCGCAGUGUGAACUUUGCUGACUGUCUCUGUAAAUACAAGAACACUGUAAAAAAUUAUGUGUCAACAGAAAAGCAACAAAAAAAAAAAAACUUCAAACUAAGGACAACUUCAUAAAGUAAAAGUAGUACCGAAUACAGAGCCGGCGGUUAAUGUGAGAGGCCAGGACCCCCUUACUGCCUCAAUGCUGGCAGCUGCACCCUUGAAAGAGCAGAAACAACUCCUGGGUGAGCGGCUGUAUCCACUUAUCCAGGCCUUGCAUCCGACUCUUGCGGGAAAGAUUACAGGCAUGCUGCUGGAGAUUGACAACUCUGAACUACUGCACAUGCUCGAGUCUCCAGAGUCCCUGCACUCCAAGGUUGAAGAGGCUGUAGCGGUGCUUCAGGCUCAUCAAGCCAAGGAACUGUCCUGACGUUGGGGGUUGGGAGCUGCAGUGCUGGGGGAGGAGAACGGAUCACAUGACCUGAAUGCGUCAGCACCAAGCGGCAACCUCCCGCUCUCUCUCGUGAAGCCAACAAGGAA